RNAcentral lists this transfer RNA (71 nucleotides) under Ictidomys tridecemlineatus (thirteen-lined ground squirrel). Its description in RNAcentral is "Spermophilus tridecemlineatus (thirteen-lined ground squirrel) tRNA". It matches the Rfam family "tRNA". From Rfam's summary of the family: Transfer RNA (tRNA) molecules are approximately 80 nucleotides in length. The record is from Rfam by way of RNAcentral. Lineage: Eukaryota; Metazoa; Chordata; Mammalia; Rodentia; Sciuridae.
GGUGGGGGGCUCAGUGGUAGAGCACAUCCUUAGCAUAGGUGAGUCCCUGGGUUCACUUCCCAGCAUCUCCA